AACGCAUCUUGCGCUCCUACGAAUUUUCAAGGGGCAUGCCUGUUUGAGUGUCAUUGAAUUUUCUCAUCCUUUAAAAGGGUUGGACUGUGGGGUUUGCCGGAUUCCCUUGAAGUUGAUCGAUCAAGCCCCGGCUACUCUUAAAUGCAGUAAGCAAAAACAAAAAAAGAAAAAAAAGAUUGCAUUGGUAGCUCCUAUGUAUAUUGAAUUCUUUUUGUUUGCUUUUAAAAAUUCGUUAUUGACUUGUUGACCUCAAAUCAGGCAAGACUACCCGCUGAACUUAA
Molecule: unclassified non-coding RNA, 281 nt
Filed under: uncultured fungus
Lineage: Eukaryota; Fungi
Description: sequence contains ITS2
Source: RNAcentral